GAUGAAGAACGCAGCGAAAUGCGAUAAGUAAUGUGAAUUGCAGAAUUCAGUGAAUCAUCGAAUCUUUGAACGCAUCUUACGCUCCUUGGUAUUCUGAGGAGCAUGCCUGUUUGAGUGUCAUUAAAUUCUCAACUACACUGACUUUGAAUUGGUGUGGCUUGGAUUUGGGGGGAAAAUUGUUGUGGGCUUUUUGUAUAGUCUGCUCCCCUGAAAUUGAUUAGCGGUACCUUUGUGGAACUGUCUACAGGUGUGAUAAUUAUCUACAUCUUAGACAUCUGCUGGAAUGCUGCUUUCUAAACCUUACUUGUAUUGACAAUCUUGACCUCAAAUCAGGUAGGACUACCCGCUGAACUUAAGCAUAUCAAUAAGCGGAGGA
Molecule: unclassified non-coding RNA, 376 nt
Filed under: soil metagenome
Description: partial contains 5.8S ribosomal RNA, internal transcribed spacer 2, and large subunit ribosomal RNA
Rfam family: 5.8S ribosomal RNA (bases 1-120)
Source: RNAcentral